Daktulosphaira vitifoliae (grape phylloxera) is the source of this 732-nucleotide long non-coding RNA. RefSeq lists it as uncharacterized. The record is from RefSeq and is a predicted model, not a curated record. Lineage: Eukaryota; Metazoa; Arthropoda; Insecta; Hemiptera; Phylloxeridae. The transcript has 3 exons.
GACUGACUAUUAUUUUAUUACUUUUUACAAAUACAUCGUUCAUUUGGAGCGAUGUUUACAUUAAUGUCCAUCUUUUUAAUUACCAUAAGCGUAUCUGUGGCGCCGAACAGACGGCAAGAUUAAAUAGUUAAAUUUUUAAGAAAAACUAGCCUCCCUUCAUUACCUUACCAACUAAUUUAAUAUAAAAGGGCUAGUAAAAUUAGCACAAACACUCUCUUUCCAUUUUAUCUCUCUCGCAUACUCUCACUUUCAUUUUCACUUAUUAUUCCCCCAUAAUCUUACACUUUCAUAUUAAAAGUUAAUAAUGUAAAAUUCACGUUACUUUUGUUAAUUUUAAUUAUAAGACUUAUAUAUAUUUGUCAAAAUAAUUAAUACAAGUUAUAGAAAUAAACUCAGUAUGUUGCCCCUCAUAUCUGUAUUUUUAUUUAUUUAAAUUAACUUAAAAUAUCGACAUCAACAAGGAACAUCACAAUUCACCAUCUAUCUACGAAUCCAUUUGGACAUCAAGUUAUAUGGUUAAGCCAAUGAUGGACGGGACGAGUAUUAUGGUCGACUUGCACUCAAGAUGAGACACCCAACAAUGAGAAAAUCACUAUAAAACUAGACACCUUGAGAGAAAUCGAGUACUUAGCAUUAAAAGAAUCACCUUAUACAGUUACCUUAUAUGUUCUAGAAGUAUAAUCUCUACAUAUUUUAAAAUACAGAGUGUAUCAUACUGUAAGCCUAACCACU